AGGUAACGUAGCGAAAGCUACGCUAAUACCGCAUACGAUCUACGGAUGAAAGCGGGGGAUCGCAAGACCUCGCGCGAUUGGAGCGGCCGAUAUCAGAUUAGGUAGUUGGUGAGGUAAAGGCUCACCAAGCCGACGAUCUGUAGCUGGUCUGAGAGGACGACCAGCCACACUGGGACUGAGACACGGCCCAGACUCCUACGGGAGGCAGCAGUGGGAAUUUUGGACAAUGGGCGCAAGCCUGAUCCAGCAAUGCCGCGUGCAGGAUGAAGGCCUUCGGGUUGUAAACUGCUUUGUACGGAACGAAACGGUGAGCUCUAAUACAGUUUGCUAAUGACGGUACCGUAAGAAUAAGCACCGGCUAACUACGUG
RNAcentral lists this ribosomal RNA (369 nucleotides) under uncultured bacterium. RNAcentral's name for it is "bacterial SSU rRNA". It matches the Rfam family "Bacterial small subunit ribosomal RNA", at positions 141 to 507 of the family's 1533-position model. The record is from RNAcentral.